GCUUCGACGCGUAGGAGGGGGGAGAGGCCGAAUCAAGAAUAAAACCAAAAGAGCCCAAUUGAUUUUCUUGUUUGGGUUCUCAAAAUUCACAGACAAAAACACGAAAAGAUUGAAUUUUGAUCAAUCGAAAGCAAUCUUCAACAACGAUAGCAUUAUCCUCUGUUAUACCCAUAAGAAGCAAAGGAGAGAAAAAAAAGCCCAAAAAAAUUAUGGAGAAAAUGAUGAACAUGAUAAAGCCGAAACAGAACCCACAGCAGCAAUUGAGAGAUUGGCAGCGCAGACUCCGCCAAGAGUGUCGCAAUAUCGAACGCCAAAUCCGAGAUAUACAGAAAGAGGAGAAAAGUGUGCAGAAAGCAAUCAGAGAUGCUGCCAAGAGGAAUGACAUGGGUUCUGCCAAGUCACUUGCUAAGGAAAUUGUGAGAUCUAGAAGAACAGUGAACCGGCUUUAUGAAAAUAAGGCGCAAAUGAAUUCAAUAUCAAUGCACCUCGGUGAAAGUGUGGCAAUUGCCCGUACAGUGGGCCAUUUAUCCAAGAGUUCUGAGGUCAUGAAGCUUGUCAAUAAUCUCAUGAAGGCUCCAGAAGUGGCUGCUACAAUGCAAGAGUUUAGCAAAGAAAUGACCAAGGCAGGGGUUAUUGAGGAAUUUGUGAAUGAUGCUGUUGACAAUGCACUGGACUCGGAAGAUAUUGAAGAAGAAAUUGAGGAAGAAGUUGACAAGGUCUUGACUGCUAUAGCUGGUGAGACUGCUGCACAGCUACCAGAAGCAGUCAGGAAGGAGAGAGUGAAGCAAUCAGCUGAGACAGCAAGAACAACCGAGGAGGAAGAAGCCAUUGCUGAGGGCGUUGAUGAUGAGGAAGAACUAGAAGAAAUAAGGGCCCGACUUGCUAAAGUUAGGUCUUAAUUUGAGCCUUAAGUCCCUUCCUCUUCUGCUGGUGAAUUAGAGAAGGGCUUUGAGCACAUUUAACUUGCAUCUAGGCAUUAAUAACAAUGAAAUUGUUGAAUUCACCAUUGACAGUGAGUACAUGAGACGAAAAGAUAUGUUUGUAUUAUAUAUUGAAAGUGGCUUUUUCCUAUAUACUUAAAAAAGUUACUAGCCGCUAUGUGUAUCAUACCUAACUUGAGGCAUUGUUGUU
This 1131-nucleotide unclassified non-coding RNA is filed under the name Hevea brasiliensis (rubber tree). Lineage: Eukaryota; Viridiplantae; Streptophyta; Magnoliopsida; Malpighiales; Euphorbiaceae. The record is from RNAcentral.